UGUGUAGCCACAGGCAGACAAGCUCAGUGCUCAGGAACAUAAUGGCUGGAGCCCGCGGGCCCAUAUGCUCGCCAUCCUGGGAGGUGGAAGGCCAGCUCUGAUCACAUCCAGCUGCUCAGGAUACGACUGAUCAGGUCCUCACUACCAUGUUUUUGGGCAAGAUACUUUUAGAAGAACACCUCAACCAGAUCAUGCUCUCAAAGACCCGAGCCUUCACUGAUGGCAGGCAAUAAUUUUGCAUUUUGGAGUAUCUUCUUACUCUUAUGCAUGGCAACAUUUAACAGCACACCACCAUCUGCCACAGAAGCACAGACCACUAAUGGCAUCAUAAGAAUAAAGACUGUCAGACAAAUCCUCCAACUCUGAUUUCCCAACAUGUGUGAAACCUGUCACAUCAGCAUCUCCAGCUCUAAGCUGGAGACAAAGGCCAUGGAAAAGACUCUUCAGAAGGCAGUAAGCCAUCAGUUCACC
Long non-coding RNA from Manacus vitellinus (golden-collared manakin), 471 nucleotides. RefSeq lists it as uncharacterized. Lineage: Eukaryota; Metazoa; Chordata; Aves; Passeriformes; Pipridae. The transcript has 3 exons. The record is from RefSeq and is a predicted model, not a curated record.